GAGUUGACUCCUACGGGAGGCAGCAGUGGGGAAUAUUGCGCAAUGGGGGCAACCCUGACGCAGCCAUGCCGCGUGAAUGAAGAAGGCCUUCGGGUUGUAAAGUUCUUUCGGUAGCGAGGAAGGCAUUUAGUUUAAUAGACUGAGUGAUUGACGUUAACUACAGAAGAAGCACCGGCUAACUCCGUGCCAGCAGCCGCGGUAAUACGGAGGGUGCGAGCGUUAAUCGGAAUAACUGGGCGUAAAGGGCACGCAGGCGGUUACUUAAGUGAGGUGGGAAAGCCCCGGGCUUAACCUGGGAACUUAAUUUCAUACUGGGUCGCUAGAGUACUUUAGGGAGGGGUAGAAUUCCACGUGUAGCGGUGAAAUGCGUAGGGAUGUGGAGGAAUACCGAAGGCGAAGGCAGCCCCUUGGGAAUGUACUGACGCUCAUGUGCGAAAGCGUGGGGAGCAAACAGGAUUAGAAACCCCGGUAGUCCUAG
RNAcentral lists this ribosomal RNA (478 nucleotides) under uncultured bacterium. Its description in RNAcentral is "bacterial SSU rRNA". It matches the Rfam family "Bacterial small subunit ribosomal RNA", at positions 329 to 799 of the family's 1533-position model. The record is from RNAcentral.